Molecule: long non-coding RNA, 211 nt
Filed under: Gossypium barbadense (sea-island cotton)
Lineage: Eukaryota; Viridiplantae; Streptophyta; Magnoliopsida; Malvales; Malvaceae
Description: long non-coding RNA (GBAR_LNC020972)
Source: RNAcentral
AUGAGCAAUUUUGCCCUUGGAUGCUUUUUGACUGCAGAUAGAGAAGGAAACCCUGAGCAAGAGAGAAACCUAUUGAUGACUUGGAUAGCGGGAUGGUUGGUGGUUCCAGAUUUGGGGUUCUCAAUGAGAUUAACAGAAAGGAGAACAAGGAAGAACAUUGGGCUUUCAAUGGCAUUAAUAGAGGCUGAAUUUCAAGGAAAUCGAAUGUGGG